GGGGCCCGCACAAGCGGUGGAGCAUGUGGUUUAAUUCGAAGCAACGCGAAGAACCUUACCAAGGCUUGACAUCCCGAUGACCGCUCUAGAGAUAGAGCUUCUCUUCGGAGCAUCGGUGACAGGUGGUGCAUGGUUGUCGUCAGCUCGUGUCGUGAGAUGUUGGGUUAAGUCCCGCAACGAGCGCAACCCUUAUCUUCAGUAGCCAUCAUUCAGUUGGGC
RNAcentral lists this ribosomal RNA (219 nucleotides) under Anaerotignum lactatifermentans. RNAcentral describes it as "partial 16S ribosomal RNA". It matches the Rfam family "Bacterial small subunit ribosomal RNA", at positions 916 to 1136 of the family's 1533-position model. The record is from RNAcentral. Lineage: Bacteria; Bacillati; Bacillota; Clostridia; Lachnospirales; Anaerotignaceae.